Octopus bimaculoides (California two-spot octopus) is the source of this 122-nucleotide long non-coding RNA. Lineage: Eukaryota; Metazoa; Mollusca; Cephalopoda; Octopoda; Octopodidae. The record is from RefSeq and is a predicted model, not a curated record.
GAAAAAAAAAAAAAAAAAAAAAAAAAAAAAAAAAAAAAAAAAAAAAAAAGGAUAAAUGAAAAAAAAAAAAAAAAAAAAAAAAAAAAAAAAAAAAAAAAAAAAAAAAAAAAAAAAAAAAGAAG